Molecule: transfer RNA, 63 nt
Filed under: Eupolyphaga sp. NS-2016
Lineage: Eukaryota; Metazoa; Arthropoda; Insecta; Blattodea; Corydiidae
Description: tRNA-Ala
Rfam family: tRNA
About the family: Transfer RNA (tRNA) molecules are approximately 80 nucleotides in length. Their secondary structure includes four short double-helical elements and three loops (D, anti-codon, and T loops).
Source: RNAcentral
AGGAUAAUAGUUAAAUAUAACAUUUGAAUUGCAAUCAAAAAGUAUUGGUCACAAUUUAUCUUA